GAUGAACGCUGGCGGCGUGCCUAAUACAUGCAAGUCGAGCGAACAGACGAGGAGCUUGCUCCUCUGACGUUAGCGGCGGACGGGUGAGUAACACGUGGAUAACCUAUCUAUAAGACUGGGAUAACUUCGGGAAACCGGUGCUAAUACCGGAUAAUAUAUUGAACCGCCUGGUUCCAUAGUGAAAGACGGUUUUGCUGACACUUAUAGAUGGAUCCGCGCCGCAUUAGCUAGUGGGUAAGGUAACGGCGUACCAAGGCGACGAUGCGUAGCCGACCUGAGAGGGUGGGCAGCCCCACCGGAAGUGAGACGCGGCCCAGACUCCUACGGUAGGCAGCAGUAGGGAAUCGUCCACAAUGGGCGAAAGCCUGACGGAGCAACGCCGCGUGAGUGAUGAAGGUCUUCGGAUCGUAGAACUCUGUUAUUAGGGAAGAACAAAUGUGUAAGUAACUCUGCACGUCUUGACGGUACCUAAUCAGAAAGCCACGGCUAACUACGUG
Molecule: ribosomal RNA, 497 nt
Filed under: uncultured bacterium
Lineage: Bacteria
Description: partial 16S ribosomal RNA
Rfam family: Bacterial small subunit ribosomal RNA
Source: RNAcentral